Schizosaccharomyces pombe (fission yeast) is the source of this 380-nucleotide non-coding RNA. NCBI's taxonomy places the organism in Eukaryota, Fungi, Ascomycota, Schizosaccharomycetes, Schizosaccharomycetales, Schizosaccharomycetaceae. The record is from the annotation of a GenBank genome assembly.
UGUGGUCGAUAGUGGAACAUCCCAGUUUUAGCUCUUCCAGUAGAUUUAACGGGGCGUUGCCUCCACGAAGAGACUUAACAUCGCUAGCACACUACUAGCAUAGUAGCAGUUCACCUUGAAAAUAACUACACAUACAAAUAUGCUACUAUUUCGAUAACGACAUUUUAGGUUAACACUUGGAUCUCCGGGUUGGCUUCUAUCUAUAUGCCGAUCGUUAUGUGAAUCGUGUGAAAAUGCACAUUUCUACACUUGCAAAAACUGACGAAAAGUUAUAACUAAACACAACAGUCAACAUAAUAGUAUGCUGUAGUAAACUAGACUUGGGCGUUCAAGAAUUUCUUACUCAUAAAAAAAAAUUCGUUCUAUUCAAAGACUAAAUU